RNAcentral lists this ribosomal RNA (1772 nucleotides) under Trichoplusia ni (cabbage looper). RNAcentral's name for it is "SSU rRNA". It matches the Rfam family "Eukaryotic small subunit ribosomal RNA", at positions 1 to 1461 of the family's 1831-position model. Lineage: Eukaryota; Metazoa; Arthropoda; Insecta; Lepidoptera; Noctuidae. The record is from RNAcentral.
CCCUGGUUGAUCCUGCCAGUAGUUAUAUGCUUGUCUCAAAGAUUAAGCCAUGCAUGUCUCAGUGCAAGCCGUAUUAAGGCGAUACCGCGAAUGGCUCAAUAUAUCAGUUUUGGUUCCUUAGAUCUUACUCAGUUACUUGGAUAACUGUGGUAAUUCUAGAGCUAAUACAUGCAAUCAGAACUCUGACCAGUGAUGGGAUGAGUGCUUUUAUUAGAUCAAAACCAAUCGACGGAUGGCCAUGUGUCUGAAGUCGUUAAUUUUGAUGAAUCUGGAUAACUUUUGCCGAUCGCAUGGUCCAGUACCGGCGACGCAUCUUUCAAAUGUCUGCCUUAUCAACUUUCGAUGGUAGUUUCUGCGACUACCAUGGUUGUCACGGGUAACGGGGAAUCAGGGUUCGAUUCCGGAGAGGGAGCCUGAGAAACGGCUACCACAUCCAAGGAAGGCAGCAGGCGCGCAAAUUACCCACUCCCGGCACGGGGAGGUAGUGACGAAAAAUAACGAUACGGGACUCUUACGAGGCCUCGUAAUCGGAAUGAGUACACUUUAAAUAUUUUAACGAGGAACAAUUGGAGGGCAAGUCUGGUGCCAGCAGCCGCGGUAAUUCCAGCUCCAAUAGCGUAUACUAAAAUUGUUGCGGUUAAAAAGCUCGUAGUUGCAUUUGUGCGCCGCGCUGUCGGUGCACCGCAUCCGCGGUGAUACUGACACGUCUGCGGAGCAUAUCGUCGGUGAGCCGGCGGUAAUACGCCGGUUCAAUAUCAAAAUCCUAUCGCGGUGCUCUUCGGUGAGUGUCGAGGUGGGCCGACAAUUUUACUUUGAACAAAUUAGAGUGCUCAAAGCGGGCUCAAAAUGCUGCUUGAAUAUUUCGUGCAUGGAAUAAUAGAAUAUGAUCUCGGUUCUAUUUUGUUGGUUUUCAGAACUCCGAGGUAAUGAUUAAUAGGGAUAACUGGGGGCAUUCGUAUUGCGACGUUAGAGGUGAAAUUCUUGGAUCGUCGCAAGACGAACAUCAGCGAAAGCAUUUGCCAAAGGUGUUUUCAUCAAUCAAGAACGAAAGUUAGAGGUUCGAAGGCGAUUAGAUACCGCCCUAGUUCUAACCGUAAAUAUGUCAUCUAGCGAUCCGCCGACGUUACUACAAUGGCUCGGCGGGCAGCUUCCGGGAAACCAAAGAUUUUGGACUCCGGGGGGAGUAUGGUUGCAAAGCUGAAACUUAAAGGAAUUGACGGAAGGGCACCACCAGGAGUGGAGCCUGCGGCUUAAUUUGACUCAACACGGGAAAUCUCACCAGGCCCGGACACCGGAAGGAUUGACAGAUUAACAGCUCUUUCUUGAUUCGGUGGGUGGUGGUGCAUGGCCGUUCUUAGUUGGUGGAGCGAUUUGUCUGGUUAAUUCCGGUAACGAACGAGACUCUAGCCUGCUAAAUAGGCGUCGUCAUUUAGUUAGGGACCGAGUGGGCUGAUCGCAUCGCCAUGGUUUACAUCUCAAUCGAAAAGACAAAAUAUUAUACUUUCGAGGAUGCUUUGAGUUUGAACUCAUAGGGAUAACAUUAAAUAAUCGAUUAAACAUAUUUUCUAUCUUAUCCUUUACAAGCAAUGAAAAAGGUCUGUUUUCAAUUAUACAGGUUUUCAAUUUUACAACAACGUUUCUUCCAACGUUGGAUUCGCCUAAAGUAAGCCACGAACAGUUAAAUUAUUUGUUUAAUGAUAAUAACCAUUAGCAUGACACAGUGUCAAAAGCCGUGAAAUUGUAAUAAAAAUUGAAGCACGGCAAUAACAUAU